RNAcentral lists this ribosomal RNA (253 nucleotides) under uncultured prokaryote. RNAcentral's name for it is "partial 16S ribosomal RNA". It matches the Rfam family "Bacterial small subunit ribosomal RNA", at positions 525 to 777 of the family's 1533-position model. The record is from RNAcentral.
ACGAGGGGUUCAAGCGUUGCUCGGAAUUAUUGGGCGUAAAGGGUAGGUAGGUGGUCUCAUUUGUCUGGGGUGAAAGCCUUGAGCUUAACUCGAGAAGUGCCUCAGAAACGGUGAGACUAGAGUUCUGGAGAGGGUCGUGGAAUUCCCGGUGUAGCGGUGAAAUGCGUAGAGAUCGGGAGGAACACCAGAGGCGAAGGCGGCGACCUGGACAGAUACUGACACUCAACUACGAAAGCGUGGGGAGCAAACAGGA